UCUAAUAUGGCAGAGAAGUGCAGUGGAUUUAAGCUCCACAAAUAAAGAAUAACUUUUAUUAGAA
This 64-nucleotide transfer RNA is filed under the name Sigmella ectobioides. Its description in RNAcentral is "tRNA-Leu". Lineage: Eukaryota; Metazoa; Arthropoda; Insecta; Blattodea; Blattellidae. The record is from RNAcentral.